This 209-nucleotide ribosomal RNA is filed under the name Triticum aestivum (bread wheat). Its description in RNAcentral is "partial small subunit ribosomal RNA". The record is from RNAcentral. Lineage: Eukaryota; Viridiplantae; Streptophyta; Magnoliopsida; Poales; Poaceae.
UGUAGUACUAUCAACUGGGGAAGAUGUACACACGGUUCUAGAACCCGUCGCGACCCCUGGCUGUUCAGCGCUCAAGUGUGGAGCUUCCGCAGUAGGACCGUUUGGGUCUAUUCCUAUUGAAGGAGCACGGAAUGAAAGGGCUACUGUGUGUAACGUGUGAGUAGGAGAAUUCGGGCUUUAUAAGGUGCCGGUGCAUAAAGCUGGGCCUG